UAACCUGCCUUGGAGUGGGGAAUAACAGUUGGAAACAGCUGCUAAUACCGCAUAAUAUGUCUGUGUCGCAUGGCACUGGGCAUCAAAGAUUUAUCGCUCUGAGAUGGACUCGCGUCUGAUUAGCUAGUUGGUGGGGCAACGGCCCACCAAGGCGACGAUCAGUAGCCGGACUGAGAGGUUGGCCGGCCACAUUGGGACUGAGACACGGCCCAGACUCCUACGGAAGGCAGCAG
This 233-nucleotide ribosomal RNA is filed under the name uncultured bacterium. RNAcentral describes it as "partial 16S ribosomal RNA". It matches the Rfam family "Bacterial small subunit ribosomal RNA", at positions 122 to 354 of the family's 1533-position model. The record is from RNAcentral.